AGAGCGAACGCUGGCGGCAGGCUUAACACAUGCAAGUCGAGCGGGCGUAGCAAUACGUCAGCGGCAGACGGGUGAGUAACGCGUGGGAACAUACCUUUUGGUUCGGAACAACACAGGGAAACUUGUGCUAAUACCGGAUAAGCCCUUACGGGGAAAGAUUUAUCGCCGAAAGAUUGGCCCGCGUCUGAUUAGCUAGUUGGUGAGGUAACGGCUCACCAAGGCGACGAUCAGUAGCUGGUCUGAGAGGAUGAUCAGCCACAUUGGGACUGAGACACGGCCCAAACUCCUACGGGAGGCAGCAGUGGGGAAUAUUGGACAAUGGGCGCAAGCCUGAUCCAGCCAUGCCGCGUGAGUGAUGAAGGCCCUAGGGUUGUAAAGCUUCUUUUGUGCGGGAAGAUAAGUGACGGUACCGCGAAGAAUAACGCCCCGGACUAACGUUCGCGCCAGCAGCCGC
This 454-nucleotide ribosomal RNA is filed under the name uncultured bacterium. RNAcentral describes it as "SSU rRNA". It matches the Rfam family "Bacterial small subunit ribosomal RNA", at positions 26 to 518 of the family's 1533-position model. The record is from RNAcentral.